Molecule: transfer RNA, 94 nt
Filed under: Acidobacteriota bacterium
Lineage: Bacteria; Pseudomonadati; Acidobacteriota
Also listed under: 3 other names
Description: tRNA-Ser
Rfam family: tRNA
About the family: Transfer RNA (tRNA) molecules are approximately 80 nucleotides in length. Their secondary structure includes four short double-helical elements and three loops (D, anti-codon, and T loops).
Source: RNAcentral
GGAGAGGUGCUGGAGUGGUUGAUCAGGGUCGCCUGCUAAGCGAUUGUUCCGAUUAAUGUCGGAACCGUGGGUUCGAAUCCCACCCUCUCCGCCA